Molecule: ribosomal RNA, 253 nt
Filed under: uncultured bacterium
Lineage: Bacteria
Description: partial 16S ribosomal RNA
Rfam family: Bacterial small subunit ribosomal RNA
Source: RNAcentral
GCAAGUCGAACGAGAAAGCUCUUCGGAGUGAGUAUAGUGGCGCACGGGUGAGUAACACGUAGGUGAUCUACCUUUUAGUGGGGAACAACAGUGAGAAAUUACUGCUAAUACCGCAUAAGUUAACAGACUUUGGAAGGAUGUUAAGAAAGGGGGCUUCGGCUCUCGCUGAAAGAUGAGCCUGCGGGACAUUAGCUUGAUGGUGGGGUAACGGCCUACCAUGGCAACGAUGUCUAGCUGGUCUGAGAGGAUGAUC